This is an RNA transcript of Sphaerodactylus townsendi, 7186 nucleotides long. It is a transcript of the gene named glutamate ionotropic receptor NMDA type subunit 1, with no coding region annotated. The record is from RefSeq and is a predicted model, not a curated record. NCBI's taxonomy places the organism in Eukaryota, Metazoa, Chordata, Lepidosauria, Squamata, Sphaerodactylidae. The transcript is spliced from 23 exons.
AUGCUGAAGGGAUCUUGUCACCCAGUCAUGGAUUCACCAACCAGAAAAACAUCCAGAAGGCAUGACAUUUGGACCCAGCCAUCCAAAUCCACCCUGUGUCUUUUCCUCUCCUCCUUCCCUAAAUGAUUUUCUUGUGCUGUCCACUGUACAACAGGGACAUCAUUUAAAUUCUUCACCCUCCCUUCUUGCUUUUUGGUCCUCUCUUCUUCAGCCUCCCCUCGUAUCUUAUCCUGGCUCCAUCUGGCUUGCGUCCUUCCAUUCCUUCUUUUCACUCUAGCUUGCCAUCCGUUUUGGUCUGCUUGGUCUGCUCUCUGUCCAGCCAUCUCCCCACCCCCUGCAUUAUAUCCUCGUCCCCUACCGUCCACCCUUUUGGCUUGGCCACAUCUCUCCCCAAAUCACCUGCCAGUAUUGCUGCGAACUGGAGAGACAUCCUUUCUGUGGGGAAUCCACAGAGGAGGGUGUAAAGGAGGGAGCAAGCCUCUUUAAUCCGAUCUGGAGAACCAGCAGGGUGGGGAGGGGGGCUGAUUUUCUCCAGCCUCCAGAUUUCAAAAGGGUUGCUUGGUGACUAGCUCCCCCCACCCCAUCCCCAUCUCCCUGCUCUCAUUCCCUGGUCUCUAGUUAGAGAAAUACAUUCCAGAAGCUCGGGUUGUGGGGGUACUGGGAGAGAAGCCUCACUUGUACUGGAAGGUUUAGACAGGGUUGGCUUCCACCUGCCCCUCCUUUGCCCACCCCCUACUCCAGGGUCCUUAUCCUCAUCCCCUCUACUCCUCCCUCACCCCAAGCUCAGCUGCCGCCCCCGCCACAAGACGAAGCGCUGCCGCAUUGGCAGGUUGGGCUGGUUGGCGGUGCGCACGCUGCUCGUCUCUCUUUCUUGCAGGGGGCUGCUGGGGGGUCUCAGCCGAAGAAGUCGCAGCGGGAGCAGGCGGCGGGGUGUUUCAGCACCACGGACAACACGGCGGGAUUUCAGCACCACGGACAGCAUCGCCGUUGGUCCCGGCGUGGGCGAUGGGCGGCUGAGCGAGCCGGUGGUCCAUGAGCGCGAUGCGCCUCUUGCUCCUCGCUGUCCUCGUCUCCUUCUCGUUCGCCCGCGCCGGCUGCGAGCCCAAGAUCGUCAACAUCGGCGCGGUGCUGAGCACCAAGAAACAUGAGCAGGUCUUCCGCGAGGCCAUCAACCAAGCCAACAAGCGCCAUGGCACCUGGAAGAUCCAACUCAACGCCACCUCCGUCACGCAUAAGCCCAACGCCAUCCAGAUGGCACUGUCCGUUUGCGAGGAUCUCAUCUCUAGCCAGGUCUAUGCCAUCUUAGUGAGCCACCCACCAGCUCCAAAUGACCACCUAACGCCAACGCCUGUGUCAUACACAGCCGGCUUUUAUAGGAUUCCUGUUAUCGGUCUGACAACACGCAUGUCCAUAUAUUCAGAUAAGAGCAUCCACUUGUCCUUCCUGCGCACUGUCCCCCCCUAUUCCCACCAGUCCAAUGUCUGGUUUGAAAUGAUGCGCUAUUAUAAGUGGAACCACAUUAUUCUCAUAGUCAGUGAUGAUCACGAGGGGCGGGCUGCGCAAAAGAAGCUGGAGACCCUCUUGGAAGAGAAAGAAUCCAAGAGUAAAAAAAGGAACUAUGAAAACCUCGAACAACUAUCCUAUGACAACAAGCGAGGACCCAAGGCUGAGAAAGUGCUUCAGUUUGAACCCGGAACAAAAAAUGUGACUUCGUUGCUGCUGGAAGCUAAGGAACUGGAGGCCAGGGUUAUUAUCCUCUCUGCAAGUGAGGAUGAUGCUACAACUGUGUACACAUCAGCAGCCAAAGAAAACAUGACUGGCCCAGGCUAUGUGUGGCUGGUAGGGGAAAGGGAGAUCUCAGGCAAUGCCCUGCGUCAUGCGCCAGAAGGGCUCAUUGGUUUGCAGCUCAUGAAUGGGAAGAAUGAAUCUGCUCACAUCAGAGACGCGGUGGCUGUGGUGGCCCAGGCUGUUCAUGACUUGUUUGAGAAAGAGAACAUUACAGACCCACCAAGGGGCUGCGUGGGAAAUACCAACAUCUGGAAGACAGGGCCUCUGUUCAAGAGAGUGUUGAUGCAGACCAAAUAUGCCGAAGGUGUGACUGGCCGGGUAGAGUUCAACGAAGACGGAGACCGGAAAUAUGCCAAUUACAGUGUCAUGAAUUUACAGAACAAUAAACUGGUGCAAGUUGGAGUCUACAAUGGUAGCCACUUCCUGCCCAAUGACCGCAAAAUCAUCUGGCCUGGAGGAGAAACAGAGACACCACAGGGCUACGAAAUGUCUACAAAAUUAAAGAUUGUCACAAUCCACCAAGAGCCCUUUGUCUACGUUAAACCAACCAUGACGGAUGGAAAAUGCAAACCACUGCUCAACAGUACAGGGGGGCUGGUGCAGCAGGUCCUCUGCACUGGGCCUAAUGAGACUAUGCCAGGCCGCCCCAGUGUGAUGCUGUGUUGCUAUGGCUUCUGUAUCGACUUAUUGAUCAAGCUUGCUAAGACAAUGAAUUUUACCUAUGAAGUUCACCUUGUAGGCGAUGGCAAAUUCGGGACACAAGAGCGGGUGAACAACAGCAACAAGAAGGAGUGGAAUGGGAUGAUGGGGGAGCUGCUGAGUGGCCAGGCUGACAUGAUUGUGGCUCCACUGACUAUCAACAACGAGCGAGCACAAUACAUUGAAUUCUCCAAGCCUUUCAAGUACCAGGGACUCACCAUCUUGGUCAAAAAGGAAAUUCCCCGCAGCACACUGGACUCAUUCAUGCAACCAUUCCAGAGCACUCUGUGGCUUUUGGUGGGGCUUUCAGUACAUGUGGUGGCAGUGAUGUUGUAUCUACUUGACCGCUUCAGCCCGUUUGGCCGGUUUAAAGUGAACAGUGAGGAAGAAGAAGAGGAUGCCCUGACUCUCUCUUCUGCCAUGUGGUUCUCUUGGGGAGUCCUCCUGAACUCUGGCAUCGGAGAAGGUGCUCCCCGGAGUUUCUCAGCUCGAAUUCUUGGAAUGGUGUGGGCUGGAUUUGCUAUGAUUAUUGUAGCCUCAUAUACUGCCAACCUGGCUGCCUUCCUGGUGUUGGACAGACCUGAAGAACGAAUCACAGGCAUCAAUGACCCCAGGCUGCGAAACCCCUCAGAUAAAUUCAUAUAUGCCACAGUGAAGCAAAGUUCGGUGGACAUUUACUUCCGCCGUCAGGUAGAGCUGAGCACCAUGUACCGCCACAUGGAGAAACACAACUACGAGAGUGCUGCUGAAGCCAUCCAGGCCGUCAGGGAUAACAAGCUCCACGCGUUCAUCUGGGAUUCGGCUGUGCUAGAAUUUGAAGCCUCGCAGAAGUGUGACCUGGUGACAACGGGGGAACUGUUCUUCCGCUCUGGCUUUGGCAUCGGGAUGCGCAAGGACAGCCCUUGGAAGCAGAAUGUCUCCCUGGCCAUUCUCAACCUCCAUGAGAACGGCUUCAUGGAAGAGCUUGACAAGACUUGGGUGAGGUAUCAGGAGUGUGAUUCCCGAAGCAAUGCCCCAGCAACACUCACCUUUGAGAACAUGGCAGGUGUAUUCAUGCUGGUGGCUGGAGGUAUUGUGGCCGGGAUAUUUUUAAUAUUCAUAGAAAUAGCUUACAAAAGGCAUAAAGACGCCCGGAGGAAGCAGAUGCAACUGGCGUUUGCAGCCGUUAAUGUGUGGAGGAAAAACCUGCAGUCCUCUCUCUCUCUUGUGGCCGUAGGAUUCACCUUCAGAAAAGGCCCCGAGCAUUUUUAUUUAGUGGAUAGAAAAAGUGGUAGAGCAGAACCAGACCCUAAAAAGAAAGCCACUUUUAGGUCCUUCACCUCUACCCUGGCCUCCAGCUUCAAGAGACGUAGGUCCUCCAAAGACACGACAGCCCCGCGAUGUCACCACGCCCAGAAUCCGUGAGCUGCAGAUAAGCCCUGUAGAGAAUCCCCGGCUUCAGGAGCUGCUCAGCACAGGCAGUAUCAUCCCACUGACAUCACUGGGCAGCUCAACCUCUCCGACCCCUCGGUCAGCACCGUGGUGUGACAUCUGGGCGCUGACACCGCCGGUUGUGGCCAGGCAGACACACAAGGGAUAGACCAAUGGAGGCUCUGACGGGUCCUUCCUGGAUACACUGAAGGAAAGCUUUUGCCAUCCAGCCAGUGUGUGCAUUGCUUUCUUCACUUCAUUGUAGAUCCCCUUCUGUUCCUCGGCCAGCUGACUUCCCAGGUUUGGGAUGAACUACAGAACAUGAGGCCUUGGAGUGGCCAAACCCCACUUUGCAUAGCCGGUGGCUUCCAUUUAUUUCUCUUUUUGACAUCAACUGAGACAGAGAAGGUGACUCCACAUAGCACAGCAAGCAUGCCAAGGACGUUAGCACUCAUCGAAGUAGACUUGGGUCCUUUGCAGUGAGGAGAGAGUCUCUUUAUCAUACAUGCAUGUAUGGAACAUCAUACACCUGCCUUAUCCCAUUUUCACACCACGUAAGAGGACAAUGGAGGGGAAUCCGUGUCCCCCAGCACUCACGGGUCCUUGUACAUAGCACACCAUGCAAAGAACAUGCCCAUCGAUAUAUCAAAGCCCUCUCAGAGAGGGAGCCCUCUCUGGCUGUGAUUGGGAUGAUCCUUCCCCCUAUAUGCAUACGUUUUUCAGUUUCUGGCUCCUUAUUGAAAAGGAACUUCUGAUACCUCUCUCUCCACUUCCCUAGAGCGGUAAAGAAAUAUACAAAGGAAAUGUUACAGAAGUGAAGGUGAGCAAUUGGGAUGUUCUCUGCUUCUGUUCGUUGAAAUUUAUGGCCUGGAAAUUCUGCCAGGAAUAGCCUGGAUGUCUUUCUGAGACACAGUUCUGCAAAACAGCAACCUGCCUUGUAUGUGUCCCAAGGGGAGGGAAACCAUAUCCCCCACGCCCUCUGGAAAGUUUUGUUUGUCCUUAGUUGAAGCAACAGGGAGAUAAGUGUUCGUUUUACAAGACUGAUUUCUUUCCUGUCCUUUCCAAGGGCUUGGCUCAAGGUGGGUUGUGGGAUCUUCCCAUCUUAGUUUAGCUUCACAACAGCCAUGUGUGGUCAGUUAUUCAUGCAUUUUAUAUAAGAAAGAAAGAAAGAAAGAAAGAAAGAAAGAAAGAAAGAAAGAAAGAAAGAAAGAAAGAAAGAAAGAAAGAAAGAAAGAAAGAAAGAAAGAAAGAAAGAAAGAAAGAAAGAAAGAAAGAAAGAAAGAAAGAGUUGCAAGGACUUUGCACUCAAGUCUUCCCAGUGAGCUUUUGUGGCUAAUUUGCAUUUUGAAUUGGAGCAUCCCACAUCCAAAAUAACCCUCUGUUGCACUGCAUGAGCUUUUACUGUUCACUCUGCUUCAGGGUUCUGUCACUGCAGGAGGAAAAUCAAGAGGGCAAAGAGUCCUGUCCACUCUAAUUUACCUGUAGCUGUGGAGUGAUUUUAACACCUAAACCAGUAACUCAUUGUUAUCACAACUGGCUUCCUUUGGAAGUGCACAAGCCAACAACAUUGAUUUUUUUUGUAGUUUGCUGGUGUGGACAUCUAAGCUGAAGCAACUGAUUGUAUUUCACACUGUACAGAUUACCAGAAUGUAGCAUUUGAUGCACAGAGCAGGUGGUGAAUUGGGACAAACAAGUUGUUCCUUCUUAUGCAGUGCCUAUACUCUCCCUAGCCUUACCUCCCCCUCAACCUUCUGCAAAUGAAAGCUAUAUGGAGUGGCCUUAUAGCCAGUCACGCCUAUCUCAGACUUGCCACCUAGGAAUAACAGAUGCUCUGCAAGGUCUCAGGCAGACGUCUGUCCCAGAAUCACAGCCUUGCUAUCCAAGAUCCAUUUAAAUGGGACAGUCUAUGUGCAAACCACGUCAGCACAGCAGCCACUUUUAGGGUUUCUACUGUAAAUCCCAAAGGGAGGAAACUGGGAAGUUACAUCAGUGCAUAGCACAUGUGGACACAACUGUCCAGAAACUAGCUUCUCGGUGAGUAGUGUCCUGUCGAAAUGAUUAUGCCAGAAAGAACAGAGUUAAAAUUAUUCUCCCUUCUGGAACAUAUAUUGAUGUCACAGUAUAGCAAUGCUCAGUUCCACUCCUGGGGGGGGAAAUCCUGUUAACAAAAAUUUUGCAGCCUUCAGGACUUGAGGUAAGGCUGUGUAGAGCUGAUUACUUUUAUGGCUACCAUGGUCAAAAAGUAUCAUGGGAAAAUGCCACUGACACAGCAGAAAAAUUCUAGCUAUUAUUAUUGCUGUAGAGAAGGCCAAAACCCUUUUAAAGGACCACAUUGAAUUCACAAUUAGAGUAAUAAAUGAGGGAACCACAACCCAACCACUCAUCUUCACAUGGGGACCAUACUGGCCUACCUUCUAGAAAUGCUAUAAGGAGGGUUUCUGAAAUUACAUAUAAGUGCUUUGAACACUUCAGAUGUGAAGUGUAAAUGACAGGAAGUUCUAAACAAUUUGGAAGACUGAGAGUGUAGAACCACAUGUGAGAGUUAAUCCAGAUUAAAGGGCAUGGACCUCAUAGGACCAGAAAUCCAGGCAAAGUACUCCUGGUUAGGUUUGGUGCUGUAAGACUUGGGUUCAAAGCACCCAUGAAGCCAAGAAAAGCUGCUGGGAGACCUUUAUGGAAAUCCCAUUCUUUCAGUCUCUGUUCCUCUUCUUUGUGAAACAGCAAUAAAACCUGGCAGAGGCCAUCAACUCACCUCCGUUUGAGGUGAGCUUCUACCUUUCCACAGCAAGCUGAAGCUUCUGAACAGUCAACAAAGGCAGCCCCGCAAGGAAAUUACAGUAGUCUAAGGUGAAUAUGAGAUAACCUUUCCUACCUUCCAGAGUAACAUCCAGGCUGUCUUCCCCCAACCCCCUGGUUUUGUGUUGAAAAGCAACAUUAACCUGGAACACAUGCACAGGAGCACUGAACAUGUACUGGGCAAACCUCAGCAUGCAUCAAGCAUGUUUUUCUACACAGUCAAGAAAGGCAGUAAGAUUUUCUUUCUUUGCGCUCUUUCCCACCAUUGUUACAUCCAGAUUGUAAUUCAGGUUUGCGACUCUGAAUGCAGAAUCUGGGCAGAGGAGGGAGGGGCGACAGCUGUUCUCAAUUAGUUAAUCAGGAAUUUUUAUAAAGCGUGUGAUUCUGUGCCCAGAAUUAUAUGGGUUCUUCUGUAAAUAGAUGUGUGUGCGUGUAUGGAAUUUUUAGCUGAGCAUCGGCAUCCAAUUACUAUGAAUAAUAAUCAUGUUUAUUU